UAGUUUUAAGACUAGCGUAAGAUCAUGAUCAACUGGAGGUAGAGCUACUGAAUGUAUGAUGGCGCCGCCUUGGUGUACUGAAUACAAUUAAACUCCGAAUGCUAAUUGAUUUAUUCUUGCAGUCAGACAGUGGGGGAUAAGCUUCAUUGUCACAAGGGGAAGAGCCCAGAUCAUUAAAUAAGGUCCCUAAAAUAUGCUAAGUGGAAAAGGUU
Molecule: ribosomal RNA, 212 nt
Filed under: Mycoplasmoides gallisepticum
Lineage: Bacteria; Bacillati; Mycoplasmatota; Mycoplasmoidales; Mycoplasmoidaceae
Description: Mycoplasma gallisepticum partial 23S ribosomal RNA
Rfam family: Bacterial large subunit ribosomal RNA
Source: RNAcentral